UCUGGUGAUAAUGGCGUGAGUGUUACACCCGUUCCCAUCCCGAACACGAAGGUUAAGACUUACAGCGCCGAUGGUACUGCUUGGGAGACCGAGUGGAAGAGUAGGACGUUGCCAGGU
Clostridium sp. N3C is the source of this 117-nucleotide ribosomal RNA. The record is from Rfam. Lineage: Bacteria; Bacillati; Bacillota; Clostridia; Eubacteriales; Clostridiaceae.